AGUAAAACCUCGCCGAGCCCCGAAUCUAAAAUAACAAGCGAAUGUACCACAAUCGUGCAUUUGGCCCUUAUCACGAGUUAGUGUAUAAGACGAACUCCUUCAAUACGCUUGAAUUUAUUUCUUUAUGUUAUCAUUUACCUAAUUCACCUACUACACUCGCAUUCGAUUUCGAUGUCACAGUGAUAAUUUAAAAUUCGUUGAAAUUGUUGGGGUUGCUAAAAUUAUGAAAUUCACGAAUAG
This is a non-coding RNA of Cinara cedri, 240 nucleotides long. The record is from the annotation of a GenBank genome assembly. NCBI's taxonomy places the organism in Eukaryota, Metazoa, Arthropoda, Insecta, Hemiptera, Aphididae.